Molecule: ribosomal RNA, 440 nt
Filed under: uncultured bacterium
Lineage: Bacteria
Description: partial 16S ribosomal RNA
Rfam family: Bacterial small subunit ribosomal RNA
Source: RNAcentral
CCUACGGGAGACAGCAGUAGGGAAUAUUGCUCAAUGGGGGAAACCCUGAAGCAGCAACGCCGCGUGGAGGAUGAAGGUUUUCGGAUUGUAAACUCCUUUUGUUAGAGAAGAUAAUGACGGUAUCUAACGAAUAAGCACCGGCUAACUCCGUGCCAGCAGCCGGGGUAAUACGGAGGGUGCAAGCGUUACUCGGAAUCACUGGGCGUAAAGGGCGCGUAGGCGGGAUAGCAAGUCAGAUGUGAAAUCCUAUGGCUUAACCAUAGAACUGCAUUUGAAACUGUUAUUCUAGAGUAUGGGAGAGGUAGGUGGAAUUCUUGGUGUAGGGGUAAAAUCCGUAGAGAUCAAGAGGAAUACUCAUUGCGAAGGCGACCUGCUAGAACAUAACUGACGCUGAUGCGCGAAAGCGUGGGGAGCAAACAGGAUUAGAUACCCGAGUAGUC